Molecule: unclassified non-coding RNA, 328 nt
Filed under: uncultured fungus
Lineage: Eukaryota; Fungi
Description: partial contains small subunit ribosomal RNA, internal transcribed spacer 1, and 5.8S ribosomal RNA
Rfam family: Eukaryotic small subunit ribosomal RNA (bases 1-73)
Source: RNAcentral
ACAAACUUGGUCAUUUAGAGGAAGUAAAAGUCGUAACAAGGUUUCCGUAGGUGAACCUGCGGAAGGAUCAUUAACGAGUUAGGGUCUUCUUAGGCCCGACCUCCCAACCCUUUGUCAAACUUACCACUUGUUGCUUCGGCGGGCCCGUCUUUCCCUCGGGGGAGACCGCCGGAGGACUGUCCUAACGUCCUCUGGCCCGCGCCCGCCGAUAGCCUAAUUUAUCAACACUCUGAAUACAAACAUGUUAUAAUCUGAGUACCUAUUCAAAAAUAAAGCAAAAACUUUCAACAACGGAUCUCUUGGUUCUGGCAUCGAUGAAGAACGCAGC